RNAcentral lists this ribosomal RNA (450 nucleotides) under uncultured bacterium. RNAcentral describes it as "bacterial SSU rRNA". It matches the Rfam family "Bacterial small subunit ribosomal RNA", at positions 355 to 825 of the family's 1533-position model. The record is from RNAcentral.
UGGGGAAUAUUGCACAAUGGGGGAAACCCUGAUGCAGCGACGCCGCGUGAGUGAUGAAGGCCUUCGGGUCGUAAAGCUCUGUCGUAUGGGACUAACAAAAUGAAGGUACCAUGCAAGAAAGGAUCGGCUAACUUCGUGCCAGCAGCCGCGGUAAGACGAGGGAUCCUAGCGUUGUUCGGAAUUAUUGGGCGUAAAGCGGGUGUAGGCGGACUUAUAAGUCAGGUGUGAAAUCCCAGGGCUCAACCCUGGAAGUGCACUUGAUACUGCAAGUCUUGAGUGUGGUAGAGGCUAUUAGAAUUCCUGGUGUAGUGGUGAAAUACGUAGAUAUCAGGAGGAAUACCGGAGGCGAAGGCGGAUAGCUGGGCCAACACUGACGCUGAGACCCGAAAGCGUGGGGAUCAAACAGGAUUAGAUACCCUAGUAGUCCCUGAGCGGGCUGGCAAGGCGCAU